UUCCAACCAAAGAUAGAUAAGAAAAGCCGGCCAGCGGUCCUUGCCUGGCUGGAGAGCCAAAGCCUGCGCCCCUCGACGGGGCGGCCCGGAUGUCACAUACCCUGAUGUUUGGUGAUACUGAUCUCUCUCCAGCCAAUGCCACUUUCACCAUUGCCUUGGGAUCUGGCACGAAGAAGCACUGCCUCCUCUUUCCCAGGACAUCACAAACUCUGGCUCUUCCCGUCAAAGUCUCCUUCCAGCACAGUUAAGACCAGGGCUACAUAACAAUAUUAGAAUGAAAGAGUAAUCCAGAGUAAACUGCGGGCAUGACAUGGCUACUCUCAAAACCCUCAUGGACUAGAGGUCUGCCUUAUUGUUGAGCUUGCAGCCAGGGUCCAUGUGGCUGGCGACAGACCCCAUCGAGAGUUCCCCUGACCAUGUCUUCAUGGCUCAACCGCUCAGAGAAGAAAACAACUCUCUUCACCCAGUUUAAGGUCCAUUUUCAAAGUCCCACUUUCUGUCCCAGUUUCUGAUUUUCCAUAGGAUAACUGGCCAUGGGAAUAUCUACUCCUUUAGAGGAAACCCCAGGAGCUCCAGUGGCGCAAUCGGUUAGAGGAAACCCCACCUCCCAUCCUGAGGAGUGUGACAUUAAUCUUUGACCAACUGGACCAUUACCUUCAGAACAUAACAGUCCAAACCCAGCACAUAUCUCACAAAGUCUGAGUUAAUCUUUAUAGGUAGGUCCAGAUAGAGCCUCACCAAAGCCAGUCCAGUCCCUUUGCAUAAUUAGUUCUCCAGUAAGCAGUAAGGAUCAUGCCUGUCCUUGUUUGACUGUAUCUUUUAGAGCUCAGCUUUUGUUCUUCUAAGAGCAAGGGCUGAAACAAGGACAUUCGCAACUCCACAGAAACAACACAUAUGUGGUCUACAUCCAUAGAGAGAAAACAAACAGUUUUUCUCUUCUACAUCAAUGUCGGUGGAAGCAAUGCUCCUGCUCCACACACAAAGGUUUGCAUAUCGAAAUGGAGAGAGCACUCUGCUUCACAAACUAAAGCAUCUACACUCAAGUUACAGUUUUCCAACAGUAAUAAAUGCAUACUUGCUUUAAUAUGAGUAGUUAAA
Molecule: long non-coding RNA, 1098 nt
Organism: Suricata suricatta (meerkat)
Lineage: Eukaryota; Metazoa; Chordata; Mammalia; Carnivora; Herpestidae
Exons: 2
Source: RefSeq, a predicted model, not a curated record